UCCUGGGGUAGCUCAGUUGGUAGAGCACAAGACUCCUAAUCUCGGAGUUGUGGGUUCAAGCCCCACAUUGGGCA
Non-coding RNA from Podarcis lilfordi (Lilford's wall lizard), 74 nucleotides. Lineage: Eukaryota; Metazoa; Chordata; Lepidosauria; Squamata; Lacertidae. The record is from the annotation of a GenBank genome assembly.